This 460-nucleotide ribosomal RNA is filed under the name uncultured bacterium. RNAcentral describes it as "partial 16S ribosomal RNA". It matches the Rfam family "Bacterial small subunit ribosomal RNA", at positions 338 to 795 of the family's 1533-position model. The record is from RNAcentral.
CCUACGGGUGGCAGCAGUGAGGAAUAUUGGUCAAUGGACGAGAGUCUGAACCAGCCAAGUAGCGUGAAGGAUGACUGCCCUAUGGGUUGUAAACUUCUUUUAUAUGGGAAUAAAAUGUUCCACGUGUGGGAUUUUGUAUGUACCAUAUGAAUAAGGAUCGGCUAACUCCGUGCCAGCAGCCGCGGUAAUACGGAGGAUCCGAGCGUUAUCCGGAUUUAUUGGGUUUAAAGGGAGCGUAGGUGGAUUGUUAAGUCAGUUGUGAAAGUUUGCGGCUCAACCGUAAAAUUGCAGUUGAAACUGGCAGUCUUGAGUACAGUAGAGGUGGGCGGAAUUCGUGGUGUAGCGGUGAAAUGCUUAGAUAUCACGAAGAACUCCGAUUGCGAAGGCAGUUCACUGGACUGCCACUGACAUUGAUGCUCGAAAGUGUGGGUAUCAAACAGGAUUAGAUACCCGGGUAGUC